UGCACCCCCAGCCCCGUCUCCCCCCACCGCAACUUUUCAUGCAUCUCGAGACCAGACGGAGCCAGCGAAUAUCCUUGAAAAUCUUACCUUGGAUGUGUGCGAAGGUAAAAUGUAAAAGCAGGAUCUUGACAGGUGCACCUGAAGACAGCACUGUAAACGGAUCAAAAAUGUCCCCCGAUGUCAGCCUAGCGAUAAACAGUCCUGUACACGGAGCGCUCAUUCCUCGGAUUAAAGUCACGCACCGGGCGAUGCGCUUCAAGCUGCCUUCCGAUGAUCGCCUUGCACAAGACGGCUGCAUCCAAACAUGCGGCAUUCUCCAAUAAAGUGUCACCUACUGGAUGUCAUCAUGAAGAAGGACUCAGGCGCAAGUCAUCUGGAAUUCCUGCACUCGAGAACAUCGAACCUUUCCGGGGUUUUCUUGGGCGAAUGUGUCGCUUUUUUCGGCUGUGCGGGGGACGGACUAACUUUUGGAAAGAUCUGAAAUGCUUCAGGCUGCCUUAAAGUUAUCGUGUGAAACAAAGACUUUCUUGCUCAAAGUA
Molecule: long non-coding RNA, 539 nt
Organism: Erpetoichthys calabaricus (reedfish)
Lineage: Eukaryota; Metazoa; Chordata; Cladistia; Polypteriformes; Polypteridae
Exons: 2
Source: RefSeq, a predicted model, not a curated record